This 460-nucleotide ribosomal RNA is filed under the name uncultured bacterium. RNAcentral's name for it is "partial 16S ribosomal RNA". It matches the Rfam family "Bacterial small subunit ribosomal RNA", at positions 30 to 523 of the family's 1533-position model. The record is from RNAcentral.
AUUGAACGCUGGCGGCGUGCCUAAUACAUGCAAGUCGAGCGGUAAGGCCCCUUCGGGGGUACACGAGCGGCGGACGGCUGAGUAACACGUAGGAACGUACCCCAAAGUGAGGGAUAACUGCUCGAAAGAGUAGCUAAUACCGCAUGUGAUCCACGGACUGAAGCUUUAUGCGCUUUGGGAACGGCCUGCGCCCGAUUAGCUUGUUGGUGAGGUAAUAGCUCACCAAGGCGAUGAUCGGUAGCUGGUCUGAGAGGAUGAUCAGCCAGACUGGGACUGAGACACGGCCCAGACUCCUACGGGAGGCAGCAGUAGGGAAUUUUCCACAAUGGGCGAAAGCCUGAUGGAGCAACGCCGCGUGCAGGAUGAAUGCCUUAGGGUUGUAAACUGCUUUUAAUAGUGACGAUUAUGACGGUAGCUAUUGAAUAAGGACCUGCUAACUACGUGCCAGCCGCCGCAGUAA